Long non-coding RNA from Humulus lupulus (European hop), 631 nucleotides. RefSeq lists it as uncharacterized. The record is from RefSeq and is a predicted model, not a curated record. NCBI's taxonomy places the organism in Eukaryota, Viridiplantae, Streptophyta, Magnoliopsida, Rosales, Cannabaceae. The transcript has 3 exons.
UACAUACUCUACCAUCUUUUUUCUCUCAUAAAACCAGCCGCCCCACACCCUUCUUCUUCCCAUGGUCUCUCACCUGUUCUCCUUCUCUUCCAAUCGAUAAUGGCUAAGGCUAAUGGAUCAUUGACAACUGAAUGCAGGUGGCACUAUUGGUGUUUUUGGUUUGGAUUGUGAUUAGUUUUGUUGUGUUUGGCCUCAUUUUCUAAAAACAAGUUCUAACCUUCGGCCACUCGAGUAGCAGCUCCCCAGUCAACAGGCUUUGUGGAGACGGCUUUUGCACCUACAAAAUCUCUGUGGCGAUAGGCUUCAUUGGGGGCUCCGAGCUUCUUGGCAACACGUCAGUUCUUACAUGGAUUCAGAAAGCAGAGGGAUAAUGGCAAUAUAUGCCACUGUGCAGCUAAGGAGGAGAACUUUCGAGAUAAUAUUUAUUGCAAUUCGAUGCUUGUAAAAUUAGAACAAUUUUAUUGUAAGAUCCAUCAAUAGAGUAUCAUAUUGAAAUAUUUAGAUUGUUAUUAGGACUUAGAGGUGGUUUGAGGUUUUUUAUGUAUUUAUUAUUUAUUUUUAUUGAUAAUGUUGAAGGAUGUUAUAAGUUAGCUUGCAAUAUAUGUUAAUGAGAAAUUAAAAUUUCUUUUGA